RNAcentral lists this ribosomal RNA (465 nucleotides) under uncultured bacterium. RNAcentral's name for it is "partial 16S ribosomal RNA". It matches the Rfam family "Bacterial small subunit ribosomal RNA", at positions 338 to 795 of the family's 1533-position model. The record is from RNAcentral.
CCUACGGGAGGCAGCAGUGGGGAAUAUUGCGCAAUGGGCGAAAGCCUGACGCAGCGACGCCGCGUGAGGGAUGAAGGUCUUCGGAUCGUAAACCUCUGUCAGCAGGGAAGAACGGUCACUGUGCUAAUCAGCAGUGAAUUGACGGUACCUGCAAAGGAAGCACCGGCUAACUCCGUGCCAGCAGCCGCGGUAAUCCGGAGGGUGCGAGCGUUAAUCGGAAUUAGUGGGCUGAAAGCGCUCGUAGGCGGUAUGUCAAGUCAAGGGUGAAAUCCCCGCGCUCAACGUGGGAAGUGCAUUUGAAACUGGCAGACGGGAGUGUGUGAGAGGAGAGUGGAAUUCCAGGUGUAGGAGUGAAAGCCGUAGAUAUCUGGAGGAACACCAGUGGCGAAGGCGACUAUCUGGCACAUAACUGACGCUGAGGAGCGAAAGCGUGGGUAGCAAACAGGAUUAGAUACCCGGGUAGUC